CAUUAAAUGACUGAAGAGUAAGUUUUGAUUUUUUAAAUCAGGUUAUAGUAUAAUAACGCAUACUUUUAAUGA
RNAcentral lists this transfer RNA (72 nucleotides) under Pseudomyrmex veneficus. Its description in RNAcentral is "tRNA-Lys". The record is from RNAcentral. Lineage: Eukaryota; Metazoa; Arthropoda; Insecta; Hymenoptera; Formicidae.